GUGUCAGCAGCCGCGGUAAUACAGAGGGUGCGAGCGUUAAUCGGAUUUACCGGGCGUAAAGCGUGCGUAGGCGGCUUAUUAAGUCGGAUGUGAAAUCUCUGAGCUUAACUCGGGAAUUGCAUUCGAUACUGGUGAGCUAGAGUAUGGGAGAGGAUGGUAGAAUUCCAGGUGUAGCGGUGAAAUGCGUAGAGAUCUGGAGGAAUACCGAUGGCGAAGGCAGCCAUCUGGCCUAAUACUGACGCUGAGGUACGAAAGCAUGGGGAGCAAACAGGAUUAGAUACCCCGGUAGUCC
Molecule: ribosomal RNA, 292 nt
Filed under: uncultured Acinetobacter sp.
Lineage: Bacteria; Pseudomonadati; Pseudomonadota; Gammaproteobacteria; Moraxellales; Moraxellaceae
Description: partial 16S ribosomal RNA
Rfam family: Bacterial small subunit ribosomal RNA
Source: RNAcentral